AGACAAGUGAGGGUGCUACCCUGUAGCCUCUCGUCUCCCCGGCGCGCCGCACUCCCGCCGCAGCCCGCCGGCGGUACACUAAACUCUUGUUUAAUUGUAUGUUCUGAGCGUCUUAUUUUAAUAAGUCAAAACUUUCAACAACGGAUCUCUUGGUUCUGGCAUCGAUGAAGAACGCAGCGAAAUGCGAUAAGUAAUGUGAAUUGCAGAAUUCAGUGAAUCAUCGAAUCUUUGAACGCACAUUGCGCCCAUUAGUAUUCUAGUGGGCAUGCCUGUUCGAGCGUCAUUUCAACCCUUAAGCCUAGCUUAGUGUUGGGAGUCUACCGCACGGUAGUUCCUGAAAGACAGUGGCAGAGCGAUAGGUGUCCUCUGAGCGUAGUAAUUUUUAUUUCUCGCUUCUGUUAGGCCCUACGGUCCCGCCAUAAAACCCCCCCUUCUCCAAAGGUUGACCUCGGAUCAGGUAGGAAUACCCGCUGAACUUAAGCAUAUCAAUAAGCGGAGGAAAAGAAACCAACAGGGAUUCCCCUAGUAACGGCGAGUGAAGCGGGAACAGCUCAAAUUUGAAAUCUGGCCUUCGGGUCCGAGUUGUAAUUUGCAGAGGAUGCUUUUGGUGCGGUGCUUUCCGAGUUCCCUGGAACGGGACGCCUUAGAGGGUGAGAGCCCCGUACGGUUGGCCACCAAGCCUGUGUAAAGCUCCUUCGACGAGUCGAGUAGUUUGGGAAUGCUGCUCAAAAUGGGAGGUAUAUUUCUUCUAAAGCUAAAUACUGGCCAGAGACCGAUAGCGCACAAGUAGAGUGAUCGAAAGAUGAAAAGCACUUUGAAAAGAGGGUUAAAUAGCACGUGAAAUUGUUGAAAGGGAAGGGUUUAUGACCAGACCUUUUCUAGGGGGAUCAUCCGGUGUUCUCACCGGUGCACUUCCCCUAGUUGAGGCCAGCAUCGGUUUCUGUAGGGGGAUAAAAGCUUCGGGAAUGUGGC
RNAcentral lists this ribosomal RNA (972 nucleotides) under Sordariomycetes sp. RNAcentral's name for it is "eukaryotic LSU rRNA". The stretch from base 444 to 972 matches the Rfam family "Eukaryotic large subunit ribosomal RNA", at positions 1 to 540 of the family's 3401-position model. Lineage: Eukaryota; Fungi; Ascomycota; Sordariomycetes. The record is from RNAcentral.